This 70-nucleotide transfer RNA is filed under the name Helianthus annuus (common sunflower). Its description in RNAcentral is "tRNA-OTHER". The record is from RNAcentral. Lineage: Eukaryota; Viridiplantae; Streptophyta; Magnoliopsida; Asterales; Asteraceae.
UUUCGGAUGGCCGAGUGGUUAAUCUGUUUGCUUCCAAACAAAGGGUCAAGAGUUCGACUCCUUUUGGAGU